CAGUCGAACGGUACAGGUCUUCGGAUGCUGACGAGUGGCGAACGGGUGAGUAAUGCAUCGGAACGUGCCCAGUCGUGGGGGAUAACGCAGCGAAAGCUGUGCUAAUACCGCAUACGAUCUAUGGAUGAAAGCGGGGGAUCGAAAGACCUCGCGCGAUUGGAGCGGCCGAUGUCAGAUUAGCUAGUUGGUGGGGUAAAGGCCCACCAAGGCGACGAUCUGUAGCUGGUCUGAGAGGACGACCAGCCACACUGGGACUGAGACACGGCCCAGACUCCUACGGGAGGCAGCAGUGGGGAAUUUUGGACAAUGGGCGCAAGCCUGAUCCAGCAAUGCCGCGUGCAGGAAGAAGGCCUUCGGGUUGUAAACUGCUUUUGUACGGAACGAAAAGGUCUGGGUUAAUACCCUGGGCUCAUGACGGUACCGUAAGAAUAAGCACCGGCUAACUACGUGCCAGCAGCCGCGGUAAUACGUAGGGUGCAAGCGUUAAUCGGAAUUACUGGGCGUAAAGCGUGCGCAGGCGGUUUUGUGAGACAGGCGUGAAAUCCCCGGGCUCAACCUGGGAAUGGCGCUUGUGACUGCAAAGCUGGAGUGCGGCAGAGGGGGAUGGAAUUCCGCGUGUAGCAGUGAAAUGCGUAGAUAUGCGGAGGAACACCAAUGGCGAAGGCAAUCCCCUGGGCCUGCACUGACGCUCAUGCACGAAAGC
Molecule: ribosomal RNA, 703 nt
Filed under: uncultured bacterium
Lineage: Bacteria
Description: bacterial SSU rRNA
Rfam family: Bacterial small subunit ribosomal RNA
Source: RNAcentral